UACGUAGGUCCCGAGCGUUGUCCGGAUUUAUUGGGCGUAAAGCGAGCGCAGGUGGUUUAUUAAGUCUGGUGUAAAAGGCAGUGGCUCAACCAUUGUAUGCAUUGGAAACUGGUAGACUUGAGUGCAGGAGAAGAGAGUGAAAUUCCAUGUGUAGCGGUGAAAUGCGUAGAUAUAUGGAGGAACACCGGUGGCGAAAGCGGCUCUCUGGCCUGUAACUGACACUGAGGCUCGAAAGCGUGGGGAGCAAACAGG
This 252-nucleotide ribosomal RNA is filed under the name uncultured bacterium. RNAcentral describes it as "partial 16S ribosomal RNA". It matches the Rfam family "Bacterial small subunit ribosomal RNA", at positions 524 to 776 of the family's 1533-position model. The record is from RNAcentral.